This is a long non-coding RNA of Neomonachus schauinslandi (Hawaiian monk seal), 151 nucleotides long. RefSeq lists it as uncharacterized. The transcript has 3 exons. The record is from RefSeq and is a predicted model, not a curated record. NCBI's taxonomy places the organism in Eukaryota, Metazoa, Chordata, Mammalia, Carnivora, Phocidae.
UGACAGCAUUGUGGUCAAGAAGCUUGGCAAGGAAAAAUUGACUUCUUGGGUGGCCCCAGGAACAAGCACUAGUGAUGUUCCUGACAACUGUGCAGUUUGGGCAUGGCUGCAGAAGAGUAUCCCGGAUGAGGAGGACCUGUGGAUUGCCAAG